This 72-nucleotide transfer RNA is filed under the name bacterium (Candidatus Blackallbacteria) CG17_big_fil_post_rev_8_21_14_2_50_48_46. RNAcentral's name for it is "tRNA-Met". It matches the Rfam family "tRNA". Rfam says of the family: Transfer RNA (tRNA) molecules are approximately 80 nucleotides in length. Their secondary structure includes four short double-helical elements and three loops (D, anti-codon, and T loops). Further hydrogen bonds mediate the characteristic L-shaped molecular structure. tRNAs have two regions of fundamental functional importance: the anti-codon, which is responsible for specific mRNA codon recognition, and the 3' end, to which the tRNAs corresponding amino acid is attached (by aminoacyl-tRNA synthetases). tRNAs cope with the degeneracy of the genetic code in two manners: having more than one tRNA (with a specific anti-codon) for a particular amino acid; and 'wobble' base-pairing, i.e. permitting non-standard base-pairing at the 3rd anti-codon position. The record is from RNAcentral. Lineage: Bacteria; Candidatus Blackallbacteria.
CCCGGUCUAGCUCAAGGGGAGAGCAGUCGGCUCAUAAUCGACAGGUUAUUGGUUCAAAUCCAAUGACCGGGA